CAAGUCCCGGAAGCAGGAAGCGCCUCACUUCUUGCUUGGGAUUCACGGCUGGAACGGCGAAGGGAAACUUUGACCCCCGCCAGGAGCGCUGCAGUCCUGUGUUUACUGGAGCCAACAUGGGUCCACUGGAGCAAUUGUUAACUGCGCAUGUGUGCAGCUUUUUAAAGGUAGAGGAGAUGUGAAGAGAGGAGCAUGCCUUAGUCUGCUCCCCAACACACCCCACCCGCACUUAGCGAUGUCUGCAUGCAUUUUGGAUUGUCCACCGUGGAAAGAUGCAGCUGCUAUCCAGUACAAACUGCUUGUUUUACUUCCUGCAAAUCACAGCGGGUUUCCCUGUGGCCAAAACGCUGCUGUUUUGAAUAAUGUAAAGCACACUGCCUCUAUCUUAGGCUUAAGAGUCAUCUCACAUACAUGGGUCUAGAUAAACUAGGCCCACUCCUGCUUAUAAUUAAAUUAUAAGUCACCUUAACUACAGAUGGUUCUGUACUGCCUAUUCCAGGAAAUGGCAACCAAGUCUUUGCUUCAAAAUCAUCUUGUAACCGUGCCUUUGUUCCAAAAGGGGGUUUUAACCAUCUGCGACUAUCUGGUUAUGAGUAACCAGCUGUUAUAACCACCUUAUAGCCUUGUCUUGGCUUCAGAAGGUUGUUUUGACCAUCUGUAACUAUAUGGUUAUGAGUAACCAGCUGUUAUGACCACCUUGCAGCCUUGUCUUUGCUUCAGGAGGUUGCUAUGACCAACUUGGUAUGCUUGUGUUCUGCGUCUGUAACCCAGCCUACUUGCCUACCAAUCUCCCAUUUGGAAACUCUAUAGCUCUGGCCCAUCAAAACCUUGUCUUCCUCAGUCUAAUGCUGACCUCUCUCUAACUCCACUCUGGAGGAGGCAGCCGCGUACAUGAAUAAAAGA
Molecule: long non-coding RNA, 903 nt
Organism: Apodemus sylvaticus (European woodmouse)
Lineage: Eukaryota; Metazoa; Chordata; Mammalia; Rodentia; Muridae
Exons: 3
Source: RefSeq, a predicted model, not a curated record